RNAcentral lists this long non-coding RNA (221 nucleotides) under Jatropha curcas. RNAcentral describes it as "long non-coding RNA (JCUR_LNC000534)". Lineage: Eukaryota; Viridiplantae; Streptophyta; Magnoliopsida; Malpighiales; Euphorbiaceae. The record is from RNAcentral.
GGCCAUCUAAGCUCAACUUUGGCUAAUCGGACUUCUUUUGCGUCGCCAUCGCUUCUCUGGCCACCACCCUUUCCAUUUCCAUUCUGUCAUAGUGUUGCCAACGAGAGAGAGAACUGCUACGAUUUCUUCCUUUUCGAUCGACACAGCUCGCCUUCCACGCUUCUAUCUCAUUUCCGGCAACACCAAACCUUAAUUGGCCAACCCACCUCAUCUCUAGCACC